ACGAACGCUGGCGGCGUGCUUAACACAUGCAAGUCGAACGCGAAAGGGACUUCGGUCCUGAGUAAAGUGGCGCACGGGUGAGUAACGCGUAGAUAACCUGUCUUCAUGUCUGGAAUAAGUACGCCGAAAGGGGUACUAAUACCGGGAUAUUCUUGCUUUUCAUAAGUUAUGCAAGCAAAAGGUGGCCUCUGCAUAUGCUACUGCAUGAAGAGGGGUCUGCGUACCAUUAGCUAGUAGGUGGGGUAAUGGCCUACCUAGGCGACGAUGGUUAGCGGGUCUGAGAGGAUGAUCCGCCACACUGGCACUGGAACACGGGCCAGACUCCUACGGGAGGCAGCAGUGAGGAAUAUUGCGCAAUGGGGGAAACCCUGACGCAGCGACGCCGCGUGAGUGAAGGAAGGCCUUCGGGUCGUAAAGCUCUGUCAAGAGGAAAGAAGUGUACAAUGGCUAAUACCUGUUGUAUUUGACGGUACCUCUAAAGGAAGCACCGGCUAACUCCGUGCCAGCCGCAGC
This 513-nucleotide ribosomal RNA is filed under the name uncultured bacterium. RNAcentral's name for it is "bacterial SSU rRNA". It matches the Rfam family "Bacterial small subunit ribosomal RNA", at positions 29 to 518 of the family's 1533-position model. The record is from RNAcentral.